UGGGGAAUAUUGGACAAUGGGCGCAAGCCUGAUCCAGCCAUGCCGCGUGGAUGAUGAAGGCCCUAGGGUUGUAAAGUCCUUUUAACGGGGAAGAUAAUGACGGUACCCGUAGAAUAAGCCCCGGAUAACUUCGUGCCAGCAGCCGCGGUAAUACGAAGGGGGCUAGCGUUGCUCGGAAUUACUGGGCGUAACGCGAACGUAGGCGGACCGAUAAGUCGGGGGUGAAAUCCUGGAGCUCAACUCCAGAACUGCCUUCGAAACUGCCGGGCUUGAGUUCGGGAGAGGUGAGUGGAACUGCGAGUGUAGAGGUGAAAUUCGUAGAUAUUCGCAAGAACACCAGUGGCGAAGGCGGCUCACUGGCCCGAUACUGACGCUGAGGUGCGGAAGCGUGGGGAGCAAAC
RNAcentral lists this ribosomal RNA (401 nucleotides) under uncultured bacterium. RNAcentral describes it as "bacterial SSU rRNA". It matches the Rfam family "Bacterial small subunit ribosomal RNA", at positions 355 to 773 of the family's 1533-position model. The record is from RNAcentral.